CCCACUGAGUUUAAGCAUAUAAAUAAGUGAAGGAGAAGAAACUUAUGAGGAUUCCCCUAGUAACGGCGAGUGAACCGGGAGAUGCCUAGCUUGAGAAUCGGGCGGUCACACCAUCUGAAUUGUAGUCUAGAGAGGCGUCCUCAGCGACGGACCGGGCCCAAGUCCCUUGGAAAGGGGCGCCCGGUAGGGUGAGAGCCCCAUCUGGCCCGGACCCUGUCGCCCCACGAGGCGCCGUCAACGAGUCGGGUUGUUUGGGAAUGCAGCCCAAAUCGGGCGGUAAACUCUGUCCAAGGCUAAAUACAGGCGAGAGACCGAUAGCGAACAAGUACCGCGAGGGAAAGAUGAAAAGGACUUUGAAAAGAGAGUCAAAGAGUGCUUGAAAUUACCGGGAGGGAAGUGGAUGGGGGCCGACGAAGCGCCCCGGCCAUAUGCGAAACGGCUUCGGCUGGUCCACCAAUCGGCUCGGGGCGUGGACUAUUGUCGGCCACGCCAGCGGCCAAAGCCCAGGGGCCUCGUGCCCCCGGUAGCCG
This 530-nucleotide non-coding RNA is filed under the name Oryza meridionalis. RNAcentral's name for it is "Eukaryotic large subunit ribosomal RNA". It matches the Rfam family "Eukaryotic large subunit ribosomal RNA", at positions 24 to 552 of the family's 3401-position model. Lineage: Eukaryota; Viridiplantae; Streptophyta; Magnoliopsida; Poales; Poaceae. The record is from Rfam by way of RNAcentral.